Molecule: ribosomal RNA, 253 nt
Filed under: uncultured bacterium
Lineage: Bacteria
Description: partial 16S ribosomal RNA
Rfam family: Bacterial small subunit ribosomal RNA
Source: RNAcentral
GACGAACCGUGCGAACGUUGUUCGGAAUCACUGGGCUUAAAGGGCGCGUAGGCGGGUCAGCCAGUUCGGGGUGAAAUCCUCCGGCUUAACCGGAGAACUGCCUCGAAGACGACUGAUCUGGAGGGAGGUAGGGGUCGCUGGAACUUCCGGUGGAGCGGUGAAAUGCGUUGAUAUCGGAAAGAACGCCGGUGGCGAAGGCAGGUCUCUGGGCAUUAACUGACGCUGAGGAGCGAAAGCAUGGGGAGCGAACAGG